UUAGUUAGUUAGUUAGCUUAAUACAAAGAAGAGGAAGAAGAAGAAGAAGAGGAGGAGGAGGAGAAGAGGAAAAGAUGAGGAGGAGGAGGAGAAGAAGACGAAGAAGAAGAAGAGGAGAAGAAAAAAAUAAGAAGGAGAAGAAUAAAAGAAGAAGAGAACAAGAAGAGAACAAGAAGAAAAGAAGAAGAGAAGAAGAAAAAAAUAAGAAGGAGAAGAAGAGAAAAAAAGAAGAAAAGAAGAAUAAGUAGAAGAAGAGGAGAAAGAAAAA
RNAcentral lists this long non-coding RNA (268 nucleotides) under Hordeum vulgare. RNAcentral describes it as "long non-coding RNA (HVUL_LNC012278)". The record is from RNAcentral. Lineage: Eukaryota; Viridiplantae; Streptophyta; Magnoliopsida; Poales; Poaceae.